UACGUAGGGUGCAAGCGUUAAUCGGAAUUACUGGGCGUAAAGCGUGCGCAGGCGGUUGUGCAAGACCGAUGUGAAAUCCCCGGGCUCAACCUGGGAAUGGCAUUGGUGACUGCACGGCUAGAGUGUGUCAGAGGGGGGUAGAAUUCCACGUGUAGCAGUGAAAUGCGUAGAGAUGUGGAGGAAUACCGAUGGCGAAGGCAGCCCCCUGGGAUAACACUGACGCUCAUGCACGAAAGCCAGGGGAGCGAACGGG
RNAcentral lists this ribosomal RNA (253 nucleotides) under uncultured bacterium. RNAcentral's name for it is "partial 16S ribosomal RNA". It matches the Rfam family "Bacterial small subunit ribosomal RNA", at positions 524 to 776 of the family's 1533-position model. The record is from RNAcentral.